UCUUGGAAAUUAAAAAUCCUGAGAGUGCGGACCUAAAAAUAUCCGUCAAAAAUACACAUAUCUUGGGACCUCAAAAUUAUGAGAGUGCCGACGAAGAAAAUACCGUCAAAAAUCAAAUAAAUAAAAAUCGUUCGAAAUGUAAAACUUUCAAGCCCGCCGUCUUUGAAUUAUUCGGCAAACAAAAGAUAAAUAAUAUAGGACAAUACACGGGAAACAAUAUCCGUAUGCUUUAUCUGUCACCGACUUUGUGAAUAGCGAAAUCAGUAGAAUGUUAUCAGAAGAAAUUAUAAGGCCUAGCCGAAGCCCUAACAGUUCACCAGUUCUGGUAGUCCCAAAGAUAUGAGAAAAUCAGGACGGAAGCCGUACCCAAUGCAAGACCCAUCAGUACCCAAUGCUAGACCCAUCAGUAAUUCUUUUUAAUUUGGGGAAAGCAAGAUAUUUUCAACAAUAUAUUUAGAAUCAGGUUUUCAUCAGAUAUUAAUGAAAGAAUCUGAUGUCAAAAAAAAUCUUUUUCAAUAAAUAAUGGCAAAUACGAAUUUUUAAGAAUGCCAUUCGGAUUAACAAAUGCACCAACAAUUUUUCAGCGAGCAAUGGACGGCAUUUAAGAGAACAAAAUGGACGACAUUAUAAUAUUUUCAAAUUCGAUUGAACAACAUUAUGAAGUCUUAAACAAAAUUAUAAAUAUACUUUUAGGGCAAACCUGAAAAUCUCUUUGGAAAAAUCAAAGUUUUUUAAACGCGAAACCUGUU
Molecule: long non-coding RNA, 749 nt
Organism: Drosophila biarmipes
Lineage: Eukaryota; Metazoa; Arthropoda; Insecta; Diptera; Drosophilidae
Exons: 3
Source: RefSeq, a predicted model, not a curated record